This 21-nucleotide microRNA is filed under the name Ptychodera flava. RNAcentral describes it as "Pfl-Mir-34_3p* (star (passenger))". Lineage: Eukaryota; Metazoa; Hemichordata; Enteropneusta; Ptychoderidae. The record is from RNAcentral.
ACAGCUAUCCGAGCUGCCCAU